GUCAGUCUAUAAAUCGUAAUAUAAACAAGAUGAAAUUUAGGGAAAAAUCAACUAUAAUCAGACCCAACAUUCCCACUUGUUGCGUUGAAAACAGACAAAAGAUAAUCACAUCAAGUCUAUGUUCAAGAAUCCCCCGAAGAAA
This is a long non-coding RNA of Sitophilus oryzae (rice weevil), 142 nucleotides long. RefSeq lists it as uncharacterized. Lineage: Eukaryota; Metazoa; Arthropoda; Insecta; Coleoptera; Curculionidae. The record is from RefSeq and is a predicted model, not a curated record. The transcript is spliced from 2 exons.